UAACUGAUGCCUCAUUUGAUGCUGUCUGUUCUGAGUCUGGCAUCAGCUUUAAACUAGACCACCGGCCUAUUUAAUACCUGUGGGAGAUCAGUAUUGGCUCAGAGCUGGCAACUAAGCACGGCUACGUCAUGAGCAACAAUAGCCAGAGACUGCUGCUUGAGGUGCCGCUCUUCACUCAUGGCUACGAGUACAAGGACAUUACUUUGAAGGGCUUGUCCGUUCUUUACUACUGAACUUAUUGGUCUACGGAGUCCCUUCAAGCCCACUUCAAUGCUUCAAACACCAGUGCCCACUACCAUACCCACCCCAAGACCUGUUUCAGUGCAACCU
Long non-coding RNA from Sander lucioperca (pikeperch), 330 nucleotides. RefSeq lists it as uncharacterized. NCBI's taxonomy places the organism in Eukaryota, Metazoa, Chordata, Actinopteri, Perciformes, Percidae. The record is from RefSeq and is a predicted model, not a curated record. The transcript has 4 exons.